GAUGGUGAGGCCUUCCCUGGGGAUCAUCAAAGUCUGUUACAUCAUUUAGGGCAGGGCCUAGGCCCUUCUCCAUGUGUCUAGGCUGAGAGAGUAUCCCUCCAUAGGGGCUAAUACCUUUCCUAUAUCUGUCUUCCUCAGUUUCCAGUCCAGGCCUGAGGACAGUGGAGGCUGGGCCAUGACCCUGUAUUUAUACCCAGAGUGCAAAACACAAGAGUCAGGAGGAGGUAGAGGGGCCCAAUGAACCCUUGAUUUCCAUGGUGCAUACUCUGGAGACAGUCCAUUCGGCAGCAGCAUCUGUGGCUUCUGCUCUCUUGACCUGGGUGUGGUGGAUCCACGGUGUAGAGACUCACCUUGCCGGGUCCUUUUCAGGCUGACUUCAGUGCCCCUUUGGCUCCCUGUCUGACCCAGACAGACUCACUGCACUGGAACAAGGGGAAACUGGUGGGGGACUCCGGGGUCGGCUGUGUCUCUGGGACAGUCCAGUGAAUAACUUUUAUGGAGAACGGGAGUGCCUCUAGUGACUUGAGAACCAUUGGUUAGGGAGUUCUGCCAACUGCUGGUCUCUGAGCCGGGGAAGCAGUGGGGAGAUCUUCCAAACAUAAUCUCAUAGGGGAUAAAUCCCUCACUAUAUGCGGUGCAGCGGACCACAGCAAAGGAAGGAGGCCUAUCCAUCCUUUGCUGGACUCUAAUGGGAGCUUUGUUAGAGUUUCUUUUAAUGCCCUGCUUAUUCUUUUCACCAGGACAGAACUCUGGGGUCUAUAUGCACGAUGAAGUUUUUAAUUUUUGUCUAAAGCUUUGGCUAUUAAUUGAGAGGUUUUGGUUAUGAAAGCUGGGUCAGUGUCUGACUCCAUUGUUAGUAGGAGGCAAAUCAGUGGACCAGUUCCUGGAGGACCUUUUUAUCUACUCUUUGAGCAGUUUCAGUCGAGGUGGGGAACAUUUCUACCUCCCCAUAAGAAGUUUUCUAUAAAAACUAGCAAGUACUUUUAUCUUCCCCCAGCAGGCCAGAACUUGGCGAAGUCAGUUUUCCCAGAGUUUGUGGGCCUGUUGGUCUCUUAUUUGGAUUCCUGCCUGGGUAAGGGCUCUCUGGUUUAGAUUCACUUGAACACAAACCUGGCAUCUGGCUGAGACAUCCCACACUAGGCUGUCCAGUCUAGGUGUAACAUACCUUGGUCUGAGCAACUCAGAAAGUUUUGUGGAGCCCAGAUAAGUAUCCUGAUGAAGGUCAGUUGCCAACAGUUCUGCCAAUUGUUUCUGGGAGAAUAUCUUUCCCACUGGUGUCCUCCAUCAGCCUGUAGGUUUGAGCUGUCCAUUACUUCUUUUCCAUGGUGUGUCAGGCAGCACUGGGGCAUGGUAUGUCAUCAGGAUAGCAAUAGGCCCCACUGGUCUUGGGGCUGUUUGUCUGGCAGUCAGGUGAGCAGCCUGGCAGUGGAGAACAGCAAUUUGUAGGGGAAGCCAACUGGCCUCCAGGAGGGCCAAGAAUUUUUUUUCUUGAGAAGCUGUCUUUCUCUACAGGUCAUACUGUGGACAUGGCCGUUAGUAGAAGCAUACUGACUGACAGUCUGUGUAUAUGUUGGUGGACUUUUCCCCAUCUGAGCCAGGGUCAGAUUGAUCAGUUCUACUUUCUGGGUUGAGGCAACUGACUUGUGCCCAGAUCGUUUCAGUUAAAGUAACUACUACAACUCCCACAUAGCUGGUUCAUCUUUCAUCUCCUGACAGUCAUGGAUAAGCAUCGUCAGGUGAGAGGGAUAAGAUCUUGACCCAACAUUAACUGGUUAGCUUUCUUUCUUUAAACUAGCAGUAACUGCCACAGCUCUUAGAUAGGUAUGCCAUCCUGCGGUUCCAGUGUCCAAAUUCAUAGGGCAUUUUCUUGGCUCCAAAGUUUGGGUUAAAGCCUCUUUUGUCUGGAAAUUCUAGAGCUGGAGUGAAACUCGGAGCUGUUUUAAAAGCCUCAAAUGCCUUUUGUGUAGUCUAGAUUAGGGGCCCAGUGUCCCACUUUGUACUGGUGUAUAGAGGCCUUCCUAUUUCUGCAAACGCUGGUAUCCAGAGACAGCAAUACCUAGUUGAACCUAGGAACUCUGGAACCUGUGUCUUAGGGUUCUGAAAGAUGGCAGCAACCCUACUCUGAGACAGGCUCCUUUUGUCUCCCCUCAGCUGAUAGCCAAGGUAGGUAGCCUCUGAUGGACAAAGUUGGACUUUCUUAGCCAAUGUUCUGUUCUUUAGUCCAGGGUCUUGUAACUCUUGCAGCAGUCCCUCAGUGACCCUUUGUAAUCUAUUUUCCCAGGAAAGCUUUGACAGGAGGGUAGGAAGUCUGCAUUUAAUGUCUUUAAAUACUGAGGCAACCUGGUCCAGGUAUGUUGCCCACUUUAACCUCCCUCUGGGUCUGUCCAUUUAAAAUCAAAGAUGGGUAGACUUGCUUCUGCUAAUGGGAGGUUAAAGAAUCAUCUUUCAGGUCCAAGAUGGUGUACACCUGUUUCUCUGGAGGAAUCAGACUCAUGAGAGUGUUUGGGUUUGGUUCUGUGGUGUGGAUUGUCUUAACCCCCUUUUUACUUCCCACAGAUCUUGGGCAGGUCUGUAACAGGAGAUCCCAGGUUUCUUCACAGGCAAGAGAGGAGAGGUGUAUUCCAGGGUGAGUGGCAGGGCACCAAGACUCCUGCCUCUUCAAACCACACAACAUGGACUGCAGUUUCCCCUUUUGUUUCCAGGAUAAAUGGGUAUUAUUUAAUAUGGACAGAGGUGGGUGAGUUGGUUAGUUAAACAAUUACAGGAGUUUGGUGUUGGACCAGUCCUGGGAUUGAUUUCUGCUCAUAUUCCUGGGAAUAUUUGUUGUUAAUCUGAGAGAUAAUCCAACUGUAUCUUUUGAUUGGUGACAGAACUCUGUUAGGAGAUAUUCUUCCAAUAGAGGGUGAGGCAACAACAUUUUGCCGGGUAUCUGUAGGUCCUACUGUCUCAUCAUCAGAGAAGGUGACAGUGGCUUUCAGUUUAUGCAAAAGGUCUUAUCCUCAUCAGUUCCCUGUUGUUAAACACCCUUUAAGAUACCUCCAGCAACUGGGGCCUACUUAAGACCUUUUUUUUUAACUUUUAUAACUUUUUUCUAAUAUCUGGGACUGGGUAACAAAAGAAAUCUUUUUAGCAGCUGUGUUUAAUCCUUCUAAAAUGAACCUAGUGAAAAUCGCCUAGAGUUCCCUUGGUCAGCAUUGGACAGAAGGAAAAAUCCAUUGUCCAGGCUGUGUUGUCUGGCAGUGAGCCCCCUCUGCCCAGCCCAGCCCAGGGGCGGUUUUUCUACUUUUUUCAGAGAAUGGUGAGUUUUAUGGAUCAUUGCUUUAAAGGGAGUUAUACAUCAUGACAGAGAAAGGAGUGGAACUUUCUCUUUUCCUUUGGACUCUGCCCAGUGGACCUUCCACUUCCCUGGGGCUGCUUAGAUUAGGCCGGAGCAGAGGGAAUGCUCACCUGCUGCAGGAACUCUUGCCCUGUCCCUGUGUGCAUUCCACUUAGAUGGUAGGGGACCCUGAAUGAGAUGACCAGCUCUACCUAACUACACACAGAAACCAAGCCUGACUAAGCAGGAGUCAAGCAAAUAAGCAAGCAGGAGCUCCACUCUAAGUUCCUUCUCCAGCACCGUGUCAUCCUGCAUGUCACCAUUUACUGCCAUGACAAUAAUGGACCUUUGAAACUGUAAGCCAUCCAUGCCCAGCAGUAAGUGGGAAUUCAAAAUAAACUCAAUGGUAUUUUGUGGGGCUUUUGCUGUUUGUUUUGUUUUUGUAUUUGUCUCAUAAUGCUUUGUCUGGCCAAUUUUUUUUUAACUUGCAGAUGUUUUGCUUAUAUCUUACAGUUUCUAGUUUUGUGUUUUAACAGGAUUUCUCUGUGUAUGCAUGUAUGUCUCUGGGUCUGUAUGUAUUUCUUGUGCUUUUGCUUUUGCUCAUUUUUUCUGUUCGUUUUUCCUAUUCGGAUCUAGGAGGAUUUAAAUUUUUUUAAAACUAUGAUUUUAUAAGAUUAUUUAGCUGAUUUAAAUUUUUGGACAAGCAAUAGGUUGGUGUAAGAACCAAUCCUAGUACAUAUUUAGUCUUUUUGAUUGUUUGUGAUGCUCCUUUUUUUCAAAAAAAGAAUCUUUUAAUAAAAUUCCUAAUUUCAAAGAGCAAGAUAUUCCUUAGUACAUUUAUAAAAGAACAUUUGAUCCCUUUACAAAAAUAUCCCAUUUAAUUUAAAUACAUUUUUAUUUACAGAUUAAACAUGAGAUAUCAUCUAUGGUUGCCAAGCAUGUUGCACAUCAAAGAGAAAGGGGUGAGAGGAAAGAGGAGAUGGCACAGAGACAACUGCAUUAAUCCGACCAGUAAAAUAUGGAUUCCCUGACACUCACCUUCACAGGCACUACCCUCACGUGUUUUCCCUUCAACACACAUAAAACUAUUUGAACAUCAUGUGCAGAGGCCAAAAUCCAAGACAAGAAAAGCCCAGAUAUCAUCAUAACUAGAAAUUCAGUUAGAAAAAAUAAGCUCUGGCAGAUCAAAAAGAAACUAAAGGGAAGCUUUGGAAAGCAAACCUGUUUUUCACAACAGCCAAAGCAAUCAGAGCCACCAAGCAUUCCUUUGUCACCUCCUCUUCCAGGAAAAUGGAGUUCCUCUGUCACAGUAUUUACAGCAGCUAAGGCAAGCCUGUUGAUUGUAGGAUAACUAGGCUCCACCACACCUAAUGAUAAGGUAACUUGCUACACUUAGAACAUACUGGUCAAACUGGACACUAGACACUGGCUACUUCUGGGAACACGAGCAUGGUCCAGCUCUACAGAUGUUGCAAACAUCUGUGAAGCUAUAUGUUCAUAUUUCAGGUAUUCCUGGAACAAAGCAGUGAAUUAGAGAAUUUCCACCCUAUGUCAGCAUACAGAAUAGAAGGAACAGAAAACACACUACAAGAUAUACAUCACAGUUGCUGACAUUUUGAUUUUUUAGAAAGCAAGCAAGUCAGCUUUGAAUUUGACUCAAAUGGCAUUCUUUGAAUGACUGGCACUGGUGUUCUUCAUCUGAAUCUGCUUGUGAUACUUUUGACGGUGAUUGCUAUAAUGCUGAAUAGUCUCCCGGCCUUAACAAGUAUCAUACCAACUACUUUCUUACAAAGUUUAAACUCCACAAAGCCUAUAGUUGUUAUAGCUAGAACUGUGACACUCAGGACAAUUUCAAUGCUGUUCUUUUUUUUACAUUUGUCAUCAUUUUCUACCAAUUAUUUUUACAAGUCGUAUUCAUGUACUACCAAAUUAACACAUGAAUGGAUGCAUGAGUGAAUGAAUUAGAGAAAAAAAGAGGUGAGCCAAUAUUUCCAACAAUAAACAACUCAUCACGGCUGAUGAUAUAGCUUGGACCUAAAGCAUGUGCCUUGCAUACUUGAGACCCUAAGAUCAAUUUCCAUCCCUGCAAGGAACAAACAAAAGUAUUGCCAGCCCUCAGAAGGAGAGACUUUGAAGAAGUUCGUUCAUUGGGAAAAUGGUUUAUCAAUUACUUUUGGUGUCUCCUAUCCACCAACAAGUUCCACUGAAUA
Mesocricetus auratus (golden hamster) is the source of this 5526-nucleotide long non-coding RNA. RefSeq lists it as uncharacterized. The transcript has 2 exons. Lineage: Eukaryota; Metazoa; Chordata; Mammalia; Rodentia; Cricetidae. The record is from RefSeq and is a predicted model, not a curated record.